GAUGAACGCUAGCGGCAGGCUUAAUACAUGCAAGUCGAACGGGAUUGAGAAGCUUGCUUUUCAUGAGAGUGGCGCACGGGUGCGUAACACGUAUGCAACCUACCUUGUCCAGGGGGAUAGCCCGUUGAAAGACGGAUUAAGACCGCAUAACAUUGAGCUGUGGCAUCACAAACCAAUCAAAUAUUUAUAGGGACAAGAUGGGCAUGCGCCUGAUUAGGUAGUUGGCGGGGUAAUGGCCCACCAAGCCGACGAUCAGUAGGGGAUCUGAGAGGAUGCCCCCCCACACUGGUACUGAGACACGGACCAGACUCCUACGGGAGGCAGCAGUAAGGAAUAUUGGUCAAUGGGCGAAAGCCUGAACCAGCCAUGCCGCGUGCAGGAAGACGGCCCUACGGGUUGUAAACUGCUUUUAUACGGGAAUAACCCCGGUUUCGUGAAACCGGCUGAAUGUACCGUAAGAAUAAGGAUCGGCUAACUCCGUGCCAGCCGCCGCCGUAA
RNAcentral lists this ribosomal RNA (498 nucleotides) under uncultured bacterium. RNAcentral describes it as "partial 16S ribosomal RNA". It matches the Rfam family "Bacterial small subunit ribosomal RNA", at positions 28 to 523 of the family's 1533-position model. The record is from RNAcentral.